Molecule: ribosomal RNA, 253 nt
Filed under: uncultured bacterium
Lineage: Bacteria
Description: partial 16S ribosomal RNA
Rfam family: Bacterial small subunit ribosomal RNA
Source: RNAcentral
UACGAAGGGGGCUAGCGUUGCUCGGAAUCACUGGGCGUAAAGCGCACGUAGGCGGCUUCUUAAGUCAGGGGUGAAAUCCUGGAGCUCAACUCCAGAACUGCCUUUGAUACUGAGAAGCUUGAGUCCGGGAGAGGUGAGUGGAACUGCGAGUGUAGAGGUGAAAUUCGUAGAUAUUCGCAAGAACACCAGUGGCGAAGGCGGCUCACUGGCCCGGUACUGACGCUGAGGGGCGAAAGCGUGGGGAGCAAACAGG